GGAGAAGAUGCAUCAUUUGCGAAGUCCAUGCCACACUGAAUCAGUGACCUUCGCUGCUGUUGUUGUUGCGGCUGUUCAUUUUCGUGUUGUCCUUAUCGAAGUAAGCUUGUGUGCAGAGUGUGUAAGCGUGAACACUGCGUUCUGAGACAACCUGCUGCGUAGUGAUCAGAAUUUGGAAGAUUUCUAGUUUGGACAUUGACUGGAAGAAGCAAGAACGAUGGAGUAUGAGGUUGACGAUUACGAAACGUACUUUAUAUCCUAUUCCGAAGCAUCUGCUUUCGUUGGUUGCUUCUUCGCCCGCAUGUUUAGCCACCCGUGGCAAGAUGGUAGCAAUGAGGAGAAUUUCUGGGUAUACUGGCAACCAGCCAAAGUAUGCUGGAGUGCCCCCUUGUACACCCCAACAUGCUCACUUUCCAUCAAUAGCUUUGCUUGUAUGGUUGAAAAAGUGGAUCAGUCGGGUUUGUAUGUCGGCAGAGUAGUGGCAAACGAAGCCCCGGACAUUUCACGAUGGGAGGUGAUGAGCAUAGACCAUGUUAUUGGCAACUCGAAUGAGCCAACCGAAAUCCGUCCAAAAAUACGCUUGUAUUCAGGAAGUCGCAGUUCCACGUUUACAUUCAAUAUCCAACUUCAGAUGAUACUGAAAGGUCUUCACACCCUACACAUUCACGUUCGUGGUGUGGAGAUAUUGGAGGACAUGUGAUUGCCGGCUGGCCGACGAAUGCAAGCUGUACCCCAGGGUGGUGAAUCGAUUCGAUAGAGCGUGCUGGUUGCGGACCAGACGCACGUAGCAUUGGUCAAACCGGCCGUCGUGGACUACGUAUGCACACAACAUCCAGCCGAGCAAGGUACACCAAGCCAAUACGCAUUACCUGUCACGUGCCGCGCAUUUUACCGGUAUGUUUGCAAGCCCACGUCCCACGUUCGCGUCCAGCUACCUUCGUUUCCGCUUCAUCUUUGUUGCACUUGCCUCCCAUGUACAUGGUUGUGCUUGCCUCACCUAAGUGUCUCCCCGACUAACCUUGAUUAUAGGAACUUAGAAGAGAACCUCGUUGGAACAACAAACUUCUCCUUAUCUCUAGUGUAGAAAGGCAGUAUUUGCUCACUGUUUUAAUGAUGUGUUAUGUUUCCGCUGAGACGAUGUGAAUACCAUAUUAGUCAUACUGGUCGAAUAUUUGAAAAAAUAUACAAAAAAUGUGUAGUGUUUCACUUUCCUCGUGCCUGUACAUUUUACAAUACCCCGCAGGUCUGGUUGCAGGUAUUUCUCGCACAUCUCUAGUGUAGAAAGGCAGUAUUUGCUCACUUUUCCUAAAGUUCUGUUUACUUCCCGACACUCCUGUCAAAUGCCACACUUGCCAGAUAACUAAUGGAACAAUGUAUCGUCUUACAUACUUCUCUAUUACACUCUCUAUCCUAUAAAACUACAGCUCGUCUUUUGUCCCUUCUGUGCAUAUUCCACCUGUUUAGUUACCAAACUUAACCUGUCAAUGACUGCCGUGUGCUGUCGCCACAGU
Sycon ciliatum is the source of this 1511-nucleotide long non-coding RNA. RefSeq lists it as uncharacterized. The record is from RefSeq and is a predicted model, not a curated record. Lineage: Eukaryota; Metazoa; Porifera; Calcarea; Leucosolenida; Sycettidae. The transcript has 2 exons.